AGCGAACGCUGGCGGCAGGCCUAACACAUGCAAGUCGAACGAACCUUUCGGGGUUAGUGGCGGACGGGUGAGUAACACGUGGGAACGUGCCUUUAGGUUCGGAAUAACUCAGGGAAACUUGUGCUAAUACCGAAUGUGCCCUUCGGGGGAAAGAUUAAUCGCCUUUAGAGCGGCCCGCGUCUGAUUAGCUAGUUGGUUGAGGUAAUGGCUCACCAAGGCGACGAUCAGUAGCUGGUCUGAGAGGAUGAUCAGCCACAUUGGGACUGAGACACGGCCCAAACUCCUACGGGAGGCAGCAGUGGGGAAUCUUGCGCAAUGGGCGAAAGCCUGACGCAGCCAUGCCUCGUGAAUGAUGAAGGUCUUAGGAUUGUAAAAUUCUUUCACCGGGGACGAUAAUGACGGUACCCGGAGAAGAAGCCCCGGCUAACUUCGUG
This 434-nucleotide ribosomal RNA is filed under the name uncultured bacterium. RNAcentral describes it as "partial 16S ribosomal RNA". It matches the Rfam family "Bacterial small subunit ribosomal RNA", at positions 29 to 507 of the family's 1533-position model. The record is from RNAcentral.